RNAcentral lists this ribosomal RNA (606 nucleotides) under uncultured fungus. RNAcentral describes it as "eukaryotic LSU rRNA". The stretch from base 241 to 394 matches the Rfam family "5.8S ribosomal RNA". Lineage: Eukaryota; Fungi. The record is from RNAcentral.
CUUGGUCAUUUAGAGGAAGUAAAAGUCGUAACAAGGUCUCCGUUGGUGAACCAGCGGAGGGAUCAUUACAGAGUUGCAAAACUCCCUAAACCAUUGUGAACGUUACCUUCAAACCGUUGCUUCGGCGGGCGGCCCGGGUCCGCCCGGUGCCCCCUGGCCCCCUUGCGGGGCGCCCGCCGGAGGAAAACCCAACUCUUGAUUAUUAUGGCCUCUCUGAGUCUUCUGUACUGAAUAAGUCAAAACUUUCAACAACGGAUCUCUUGGUUCUGGCAUCGAUGAAGAACGCAGCGAAAUGCGAUAAGUAAUGUGAAUUGCAGAAUUCAGUGAAUCAUCGAAUCUUUGAACGCACAUUGCGCCCGCCAGUAUUCUGGCGGGCAUGCCUGUCCGAGCGUCAUUUCAACCAUCAAGCCUAGUGCUUGUGUUGGGGCCCCGCGGCUGCCGCGGGCCCUGAAAACCAGUGGCGGGCUCGAAGUCGAACCGAGUGCAGUAAAUUUCUUCGCUUGGGAAGGUGACGAGUUCCGGCCGUAAAAAGCCCAACUUUAUCAAGGUUGACCUCGGAUCAGGUAGGACUACCCGCUGAACUUAAGCAUAUCAAUAAGCGGAGGA